CAGAAGUGCGCAGCAGAACAUUCCUCUGAAGUUUAUCUUGCAGGUCAGAGGGUGGAUUUGUCUGUGGUUUGGAAAUCUCCCAGAGAGAUGAGGCUGGGAACCAUCAAGAUCUACUGCAGUACAAGAAGCAAUUGAUUGGGCUAAAAUCAGGUCAGUGUUUUAUUCCUGAUCAAGAGAGAAUUUCAUGUGCUCUCAUGUUAAGCUUCAAUAAUGUGUAGGAUACCCCAAUAAAAAAGUAACAUUUUGCCUUUCA
Molecule: long non-coding RNA, 253 nt
Filed under: Numida meleagris (helmeted guineafowl)
Lineage: Eukaryota; Metazoa; Chordata; Aves; Galliformes; Numididae
Description: lncRNA (ENSNMEG00000006508.1)
Source: RNAcentral